Molecule: long non-coding RNA, 3073 nt
Filed under: Cricetulus griseus (Chinese hamster)
Lineage: Eukaryota; Metazoa; Chordata; Mammalia; Rodentia; Cricetidae
Description: lncRNA (ENSCGRG00015039295.1)
Source: RNAcentral
GAAAAAGGAUCUGAGUUCCUCUUUGACUCUCCUGAAAGAGUUUUAUAGAAGAGGUGACAGAAGCCAGGAGGUGGCUGUGUGCCACUGUAACUGAGACAAGCAUGUCCUCCUCUGGCUGGCCUCUGGGACCAAGGCUCUUUACUUUCUCUCUUCCCCAGCAUAGGAUUCCUGGAGAAGUAUCAAUUCUUUAGGAUCCAUUGUAUCAGGGUCUAGCUUUCAAUAUUCUGAAUUCAAAAGGGAGAGAGAUUCCUCUUUAGAAUGUCUGGUCAGGGCAUCAGCAGAGGGUUGUGGAUAAUGCUGAGUGCUUGCCCAGCAGGAGGGGAAGCCUUGGUUUGGUUCCAAGCACUGAAAAAUAGUAGAGAUGUCCAUGGGUUUUUUGUUUGUUUGUUUGUUUUUGUUUUUAAUACAGCUAAUUACUGUUUAUAAGAAACAUCCUGGGAGAAACUGCAGAUAAUACCAGCAAAGAGAAUUAUGGAGCUGGGGUCAGGUCCAGGUGCAGUUCUCUGAGAUUCUGAACCCUGUGGAUGUGCCCUUUUCACAAAAAAUCACAUAUACCCAAAGGAACUAAGUGUGAUGCUGGCUGACACCUCAGGGUGGACAGCCACGCCUCAUGUAAGCCAUACUCUAAAGCCCUGUCCCCGCUGAGACUCCAUAGCCUCAAGAACGUCUUGAAGACAAGGUCAUCUGUCUACACCUGAACCUUAAAGUCUCGUCAGAAAAGAAAAAAGGACGCCUUAACUCCUGAAACUCAAUCUCUUGGUCUGGUUUCUGAGUCUCGGGGGCUCCUCGGGACCCUGUGCCCCUUAGGGGUCUGGAGUCUUUCAGUAUGUGGUUCUACAAAGGAAGAACCAAGUCCAGAACCCUGGGAAAGCUGGGCUUCUAAUUCUGAUCGCUGUGGAAUAUUCUUUAGGAUCUUUGGAAGGGAAGAAUAGCAAUGGUUCCAAGCAGCUCCCUGAUUUGCUUUCCUCCAGUCAGACCAGAUCUCCGAAUGUCACUGCUUAAGAAGACAAUGUCAGCUGCAGAUAAAGUUGGCAGAGCUGAGUGGUGCCCCCCUGCCUUCAGAGGGUUCAGGGUUCAGACCCCAAGAAAAGUGCAAACAAAAUAUAGAGGCACCGUUUGGAGACUGUCCCUGCUACAGUUUGGGGACGGCAUCACACUGGACAUGCGGCCUUGCCUUCUGAUGUGGGAAAGACUGCUUGAUGAAGAACUCUCAGUUAUUUCUUCAGCACCAUGUCUGCCUGCAUGCCACUAUGCUUCAAACCCUAAUGGUAAUGGAAUAACCCUCUGAAACUGUAAGCAAGCCCCCAAUUAAAUGAUUUCUUUUAUAAGAGUUGCCAGCCAGGUGGUGGUGGCACAUGCUUUUAAUCCCAGCACUCAAGAGGCAGAGGCAAGCAGAUCUCUGUGAGUUCGAGGCCAGUCUGGUCCACAGAGUGAGUUCCAGGACAGCCUCCAAAGCAAUACAGAGAAACCCUGUCUCGAAAAACAAAAACAAAAAACAAACAAACAAACAAAAAAACAAGAAAAAAGGAAAAACAAAGUUGCCCUGGUCAUGGUGUCUCUUCACAGCAAUAAAACACUGACUAAGACAGGGUCAUAGGUUUUUGAGAGCAUAGGAAACCAGGUAGAAAAAUCUUAGCUUUGAUUGGCAUUGGAACCAGACUCUUGCUUUUUAGAUGUGUCUUGCAGUGUCACCCACAGUGGCCUCAAAUUCUGGAUCGUCCUGCUUCAAUCCCCAAAGGGCUUACCCAAGGCAUGGACCACCAGACCUGGCUUGGAAGAUCCAAUAGGACAGGACUUGAAAAGAAUGUUCUGGGCUGGACCCAAGAAAAGGAGAUUAAAGUCAGAGGUACGGUGCCUAGUGUAACAGCUGGGACCAAGACAGCUCAGAUGUGAUAGAGGAAGGAUGUCAGAAUGGACACUUCCAUAAAAACUGAGCAAGGGGCUGGAAAACUGGUCCCCUGGUUAAAAGCACAACCUAUUCUUGCAGACGGACCUGAUUUCAGAUCUCAGCACCCACACCAGGUGACUCACAGACACCUGCAACUCCAGUUCCAAGGGUAUCGGAUGCCUUUGACUCAGGGUACCUGCAAGCAUGUGCACAUACCUCACCCACCCCCAAGACAUGCUAACAUACACAUAAUCAAACAAUAAUCAUUUGUUUUAAUCUAGGGGAAAAAAGAGAGGUAUGAUGACCUGGCUUGUUACAGGCAUUUGUCACCACGCCAAGAUGGCUUGAGUUUCAUCUCACAGGACCCACACUGUGGAAGGAGAGAAGCAACUGCUACAAGUUGUCCUCCGACCUCUAUGUGUACAUAUAUACUGUGGCAUGCAUGCCACUUCCAUCCCUACUUCCAAAAAAGAGAUAAAUCAAUUUUAAACAACCUGAGUGAGACUCAGACUGUGGAGGGAGACAAAGAAGAGGUGGCAUUUAGCCCUGUGACUGAGAAGGCAUGAGAGGAGGGAAUGGGACCUCCAGGCAGAACUGUGUUGGAGCAGUUCAUCUAUGUGUCCAACACAUUGCUACUGAGGCUCUACCCUGUGCCCGGAAGAUGGACAAAGUCCUGGUUCUCACAAGUCAACAGUCGGGGGAGAGAGAUGGACAGAUCCUACUGAGUUGCUCACCCUGAAGCUUGCAGGAUAAAUGGUACUUCUACAGCCCACCGGAAAUUAAUGCUACUUGACUGACAGCGUCUCUGCUCUCUUGCAAAAGUGUGGCUACAGACUUCUGGAGUGCCUGCAGAUGGGGACAUUCUGGGGUAGCCCCAGGUACUGAAGAAAGGUGUGCUGGCCUUGUUUACAUUUCUAAGGUUCUAACAGGGAAAAAUGUUGGCUGGACAAGCUUUCAGAUGACAAAGCAAAUUAAUUCCAUGAAGCCUCCUGGGGAAGGUAGGAUGCCCAAAGCCUUCCUAGGUCUUCUGGUGGCCCAGCCCCAAACUUGCUUAGGAUGUUUCCCUGGUACCUGUUUGUGUUGGAAGGGCAAGGAAGUGCCACCUGUGGAUGAAGCCCCAUGUAAAUGCAGCCUCGACAGCCAAUAGAAAAGCAGUAAUGUUGCACUCCAGUGUUUGGAAAGAAG